UUGUUUUGGAAACGUUGUAUAUAAAACUAAGUAACUAACUGCCCACUUUCAUUAAAUUGGAACUGACGAAAAAAUUAUUAUAAAGAGGAAAAUUAUUAACAGUUGUCGCCAACCCAAACAUCAUUUUGUUUAAAAAAGUAUUUGAGAAAAAGAGAAUUUGAGGAAAAUCAAAAAUAUAACACCAAGUCUCCAUAUAUAAAAAAAAGACAAAUGAAACAGCAUUUCCCUUUUUACACACACACACACACACACAUACACUGAGAGCAAUCUCUUUCAAUUUACCACAAGGUAGGGUACUAAUAUACCCCAGUCCAUUGCAAGCAAAAAAUUUCUUUAAAAAAAAAUUUACCACAGAAGAAGAGUGAUGUCUAAGUAAAGGAAAAAAGGAAAGGUUCCAUUCUGGAAGGAUAAAUAAUAGGUUUUAAAUUGCUUUAGGGAAAUAUAAACAUUCCUUACAAAGGGAGGAGAAGAGAAACAAACAAAUAAGGGAUAAACAACAUCCUCCUAUAGCGCUAGAUUUGCACAAGCUAUACAAUAUCAAAAGACACACAACUUUGUAGAGAUAAAGUGAAAAGCGUGUAAAACAAUUGGCACGUUUUUCAGAGUGGAGAGCGGUGGUGAUUAG
Non-coding RNA from Schizosaccharomyces pombe (fission yeast), 625 nucleotides. NCBI's taxonomy places the organism in Eukaryota, Fungi, Ascomycota, Schizosaccharomycetes, Schizosaccharomycetales, Schizosaccharomycetaceae. The record is from the annotation of a GenBank genome assembly.